RNAcentral lists this ribosomal RNA (468 nucleotides) under uncultured bacterium. RNAcentral's name for it is "partial 16S ribosomal RNA". It matches the Rfam family "Bacterial small subunit ribosomal RNA", at positions 28 to 507 of the family's 1533-position model. The record is from RNAcentral.
GACGAACGCUGGCGGCGUGCUUAACACAUGCAAGUCGAACGGAAAGGCCCUGCUUUUGUGGGGUGCUCGAGUGGCGAACGGGUGAGUAACACGUGAGUAACCUGCCCUUGACUUUGGGAUAACUUCAGGAAACUGGGGCUAAUACCGGAUAGGAGCUCCUGCUGCAUGGUGGGGGUUGGAAAGUUUCGGCGGUUGGGGAUGGACUCGCGGCUUAUCAGCUUGUUGGUGGGGUAGUGGCUUACCAAGGCUUUGACGGGUAGCCGGCCUGAGAGGGUGACCGGCCACAUUGGGACGGAGAUACGGCCCAGACUCCUACGGAAGGCAGCAGUGGGGAAUAUUGCACAAUGGGCGGAAGCCUGAUGCAGCAACGCCGCGUGCGGGAUAACGGCCUUCGGGUUGUAAACCGCUUACGCCUGUGACGAAGCGUGAGUGACGGUAAUGGGUAAAGAAGCACCGGCUAACUACGUG